CCUCCUUAUACGAUUUAGAACUUAUUUGUUCGUAGUGUCCACACAGAUGAUUGUUAGUUAGUCUUACCCUUUGGGUUUAACUGAUUAAUAUGCUCUUUAAAAAUUUGGAAAAGCUGAUAAUAAAAUUCGUAUGAAUAACACUGUUAUUUGUACAGAGUUUUCAAAAGUAAAAAAGAAUGAUAGCAGUAUCAUUCAGUGCCAAUUUAAUCAUCUAUGAUUAAUUGGUAUCUACUUUAGUAUUCAAUAUUAACUUCUGGCGAAGUUAAACUGUCACUAACAAAGACCCGUUUGGGUUGUAUGGUUAAGUGAUUAAGCGUACACGGUGGAUGC
RNAcentral lists this unclassified non-coding RNA (330 nucleotides) under uncultured Pseudoalteromonas sp. Its description in RNAcentral is "partial 16S-23S ribosomal RNA intergenic spacer". The record is from RNAcentral. Lineage: Bacteria; Pseudomonadati; Pseudomonadota; Gammaproteobacteria; Alteromonadales; Pseudoalteromonadaceae.